CACGUAGGGCGCAAGCGUUGUCCGGAAUUAUUGGGCGUAAAGAGCUCGUAGGCGGUCUGUUGCGUCCGCUGUGAAAACUCGGGGCUUAACCCCGAGCCUGCAGUGGAUACGGGCAGACUAGAGGUAGGUAGGGGAGAUCGGAAUUCCUGGUGUAGCGGUGAAAUGCGCAGAUAUCAGGAGGAACACCGGUGGCGAAGGCGGCAUCCUGGACCGGCAUUGACGCUGAGGCGCGAAAGCCAGGGGAGCAAACGGG
Molecule: ribosomal RNA, 253 nt
Filed under: uncultured bacterium
Lineage: Bacteria
Description: partial 16S ribosomal RNA
Rfam family: Bacterial small subunit ribosomal RNA
Source: RNAcentral